GCGGGUUCCCGCCAUUUGUAAACAUUCGCAUCAUGGCUGACAUGAACGUGAAAUUCAUUUCUCAGAAAAUCAGCAAAAUCCGAUGGAAACCCGUCGGGGCUUCGUCGCUCCAGAAGCCGAAUCUGUUCGUCACGGGCAGCUGGGACGACGAGCAAAGUAAGUUGUCGUUUUGGACAUUUGGUCAACAUGACAUCGACUACGAUCUCUACACGAUGGACACUGAGACCGCUGCAGUGGACAUGGAACCGCAACUCCUCGCAGACAUCACACAUGUUGGUGAUGUGACAGAUUUAAAGUAUCUUGACCAGCAGCAAGUUGUGGCUUCCUCCUCAAAGGGUUCCGUUGGAAUUUUUAAACAUAACCAAAACACACAGGCUGUGGAAUGUGUACAGACAUGGAAGAACCUUCAUGGCUAUAAUUUGAUAUCCUGUCCCUGUACGUGCGUUGGACAUAGAGAAGAUGUCUUAGUGACCGGCGGCGAAGAUGGCAAAAUUUGUGUUUUAAACUUAGAGAAGAAAAACAUCACCAAAUGCAUUGACAAAGCAGAUAGCUGCACCAUUAAUAGUAUCACAUUCCUGCGACAGAACGAGAUCCUCAUCACAAAUUCCACAGGACAGCUGAAGAUUUUCGACUUGCGAGCCAACCCCUCGGAAACGCCACAGACGUUGUUCCUGUCUGGAGAACAAGUGUCUUUGAUGUGUGCAGCGAAGCAUCCGAGCCAACAGCAUCUCGUUGCCACGGGGACAGUUGAUGGCAGUCUUUGUCUCUGGGAUCUCCGGCAGAAAACAAACCCAGUCACAUUGCUUGGAGGUCACACAGGACCACUGUGGGAAGUGAAAUUCCACUCAGCCUAUCCCAACCAUUUAUUCACUUGCUCCGAAGAUGGUUCCCUGUGGCAUUGGGAUAAUUCUACUGCUGCUUCGUCUUUCCCAUACUUGUCGUCUCCUUCAGUGAAGCCCUCUCUUGGUGGAACAAGUCGUAAGACAAUGGACAUCGGUAACUCUGGUUUGUUGGGGUCAGUAACCAACAACCCUUGGAGCCUCAAUGCAUCUGACCGACACAAGAUCGAGAUCACAUCCCUGCUGGAAGGGGGCAGCCACUGCCUCUCCAUAAACUCGCUGGACGUCGAGGAGGAAACCAUACUGUGUGGCGGCGACAAUGAAUCCAUCUACACGAUUCCUUUGCCGAAUCUUAGAUAAGGGUUGGUGUCGGGGCCAGAGGAAGGAACUUGUAUCAGGAUGGGAAGGGGGGGAAGUCACUGUAUUGAUAGGGUGGACGAGUGGGGUGUGGACGUGUUAUAGGGUUUUGUUGAGGGUGGACAAAUGGGGUGUGUGCAUAUUAUAAGGUUUGUCUAUUGAUAGGGUGGACGAGUGGGGUGUGGACGUGUUAUAGGGUUUUGUUGAGGGUGGACAAAUGGGGUGUGUGCAUAUUAUAAGGUUUGUCUAUUGAUAGGGUGGACGAGUGGGGUGUGCCUGUUAUAGGGUUUUGUUGAGGGUGGACGAAUGGGGUGUGUGCAUAUUAUAAGGUUUGUCUAUUGAUAGGGUGGACGAGUGGGGUGUGCCUGUUAUAGGGUUUUGUUGAGGGUGGACGAAUGGGGUGUGUGCAUGUUAUAGGGUUUUGUUGAGGGUGGACGAAUGGGGUGUGUGCAUGUUAUAGGGUUUUGUUGAGGGUGGAUGAAUGGGGUGUGUGCAUGUUAUAGGGUUUUGUUGAGGGUGGAUGAAUGGGGUGUGCACAUGUUAUAGGGUUUUGUUGAGGGUGGAUGAGUGGGGUGUGUGAUGGGAUUUGUCCCCUUGCUCCCUGACCUAGCAAUGGGUGAGGAGAAUGUCUUGCAUUCUUAUUAUAGAUGCAGGUCUGGCUGUGUGGUUAAGCAGCUUGCUUUGCAACCAAGUAGUUGCAGGUUCAGUUCUAUUGCACAGCACCUUGGGCAAGUGUUUUUCUCUUUCCUUGCUAUAGCCCCAAGCUGACCAAUGCCUUGUGAGUGAAUUUGGUAGACAGAAAGUCUGUGGAUACCUGCUCAGUGUGUAUAUAUGUGUGUGUCUGUCCAAUACCUUAUUGCGUGACAGCUGGUGUUGGUUUAUUUACAUCCAUAUAACUCAGUGACUUGGUAAAUUGAAACUAAAAACAAAAAUAUGUACUGGGGUCGACUUGUUUGAUUAAACUCUUCAAAGCAGUGCCCCAGCAUGGCCACAAGUAACUGAAACAAGUAACAGAAAAGAUACAAGAUACAUUUGAAUUAUGGUUUAAAAAUGAAAACCUUUCAAAAUCUAGUCCCCAAGUUCAAAACCUGAUACAUACAGUGAUGGGGUAUUGAGGCCAAUGAUACGUAAUGGGAGGAGGUUGAUUUCAUCUUUUGGUUAGUUUAGCACCCCCACCCCCUGGGCAGGGGGCUUUUUAGCUGAAUAUAACCCUGUUGCAAGUAUUUGAGGUUAGGAGGGUGACCGAGUAACUUUAUCUUACAAAGUUACCAGGUGACCCUGCCAAUGCAGGUGCCACUUCAAAAGCAUCCAGUGAACUCUGUUACGGGGUUGGCAUCCAGCUGUAAGAACCUUGCCAAAACUGACCCUUGCCUAUGUGGGUGCCAUGUAAAAACCACUCAGCCCAUUCUACAGGGUAGUUGGUGUUAGGAGGGGCAUCCAGCCAUAAAAAAAAACCUCUUCCAUUAUAUAUAUAUAUAUAUAUAUAUAUAUAGGCGCAGGAGUGGCUGGGUGGUAAGUAGCUUGCUUACGAACCACAUGGUUCCGGGUUCAAUCCCACUGAAGUAUGGUGCAAGCUUCUUCCUGGUCAGCUCCUAUUAAGCCCUCCAACCCAUGCCAGCAUGGAAAGAGGACAUUAAAUGAUGAUGAAUCCUGACUGAGAAUAUUGAUUUGCUUGAUCAUGGCUAACUCAGGGCUAAGUAACAGCUAUGUAGCUCCGCAACUCAAGGAAAUACUUAUCACUGUGGUUUCCACCAAUAGUUUAGUGCCUUGGCUACAGACACAACACUGCCACUGACUGAGGACUGAACAAUUAAUGAUGGACGUGUGUAGCUGAACGGUUACGAAGUCUGCAUUGCAAGCAAAUCUCUGGUUAUGUUCCACUGUACGCAGCACGUUUGACAAAUGUCUUGUACUGACCAUUAAAUAACCCAUGGGUCUUGCUCCAAACCUUGUAACUGAAAUUGGAUCGAUGGGCACAGUGUGGAAACCCUUCCACUUGAACAUGCACUGAUCUUCCUCCCUAGAACCCUUUUUCUCAAUCCUUCCACCUUCCUGGCAUUUCACUUCACUGCCUAUGUCCCUCUCCCACUGUUAUUGUUCAAGAACUUCUACUGCAUCGGACACACUGGAAGUCUUGGAGGAGGUCUGCAAAGGAUAAAAGCAUAAACCCCUUCCUCUGGAAGAGAAAAAGGACUGAACAAGAAUUUUUUUUUUUUUGUAAAAUAUUAAUUUUAUUUCAUUGAAGAAUUGAAAAAAAAAAAAAAAA
This 3462-nucleotide unclassified non-coding RNA is filed under the name Octopus sinensis (East Asian common octopus). RNAcentral describes it as "nucleoporin Nup43-like, transcript variant X1". The record is from RNAcentral. Lineage: Eukaryota; Metazoa; Mollusca; Cephalopoda; Octopoda; Octopodidae.